UUGGGAGGUCUACUAUUAUUUUUCUUAAAUUUUUUUCUUCUUAGGCUUUAAAGAAGUAUUUUUGUGAGUUUUAAGAGUAGCAUUAUUUGAAGUAAUUAAAUUUACCUUCGUUGUGAUGUUGCUCUCUUGUUUUUGUAAAAGUGCAUCUUGGCCCCUUGCCUCUUCACCAUCGUACUUUUCCACUUUCUCAUGAUGAGAAAUAAGUUCAUCAUCAUCCAUGGAGUUGUCAUCAACUUUAUUAGGAUUCUUCUCAGUUAACACAUAAGAAACAUUGAGAAGACUUAAGUAGAAAAGUAUUUUACCCUUCCAUCUGUUGAAAUGGUUACCAUUGAACCG
This 336-nucleotide long non-coding RNA is filed under the name Solanum tuberosum (potato). RNAcentral's name for it is "long non-coding RNA (STUB_LNC011425)". The record is from RNAcentral. Lineage: Eukaryota; Viridiplantae; Streptophyta; Magnoliopsida; Solanales; Solanaceae.